GCAGACACAUUCCAGCCAAUCAGCAGCAGACCCUCCCUCCCAGACCCUCCCACCUCCUGGACAGCAUCCAUUGUGAAGCUGCAUUCUUAGUGAGCUGUCCAGGAGCUGGGAGGGUCUGGGAGGGAGGGUCUGCUGCUGAUUGGCUGGAAUGUGUCUG
RNAcentral lists this microRNA precursor (157 nucleotides) under Pelobates cultripes (western spadefoot toad). The record is from RNAcentral. Lineage: Eukaryota; Metazoa; Chordata; Amphibia; Anura; Pelobatidae.